Molecule: ribosomal RNA, 440 nt
Filed under: uncultured bacterium
Lineage: Bacteria
Description: partial 16S ribosomal RNA
Rfam family: Bacterial small subunit ribosomal RNA
Source: RNAcentral
CCUACGGGUGGCAGCAGUGGGGAAUAUUGCACAAUGGGGGAAACCCUGAUGCAGCGACGCCGCGUGAGUGAGGAAGUAUUUCGGUAUGUAAAGCUCUAUCAGCAGGGAAGAAAAUGACGGUACCUGACUAAGAAGCCCCGGCUAACUACGUGCCAGCAGCCGCGGUAAUACGUAGGUGGCAAGCGUUGUCCGGAAUUACUGGGUGUAAAGGGAGCGCAGGCGGGAAGCCAAGUCAGCUGUGAAAACUACGGGCUUAACUUGUAGACUGCAGUUGAAACUGGUUUUCUUGAGUGAAGUAGAGGUUGGCGGAAUUCCGAGUGUAGCGGUGAAAUGCGUAGAUAUUCGGAGGAACACCGGUGGCGAAGGCGGCCAACUGGGCUUUAACUGACGCUGAGGCUCGAAAGUGUGGGGAGCAAACAGGAUUAGAUACCCCAGUAGUC